GAAUGUUGUGACAAGAUGUGUAUUUUGCUGAGGUGGAAUGCUGAGUUGUUUUUGAGAUCCCCUUGUGCUUGUGUGUCUGUGUUGGUUCGAUUUCUAAUUUUCACCUCUGCACACACUCUCCUUCUUUACUGCAUGUCCAUUUCUCUUUUAGGAUUUUACAGAAAAAAAAAAAAAAAUCAAUUCCUUUAUCUUCUUCAUUUACUGAUUCUUGAUCUCUCUCUUGUUCUUUAUCUCUUUGGAUUGUUUUCUUAAUAUCUUCCCUCCAUAGCCACAUCUUUAUUGCAAUCAAAGAGUUUCAGCUUUUGCUAUUACUUCAACUCAAUCAACAAUUCUUAAUCAAUUCCCGCUUUAGCUUACCUACUGAUCUCAUCUGGGUUUCUUUUAGAUCUCAAGUGUACUUGUUAAAAUGCUGGAUCCAAGGAUCAGAGCCUGAUGAUAUGAGUAGCAAUACAGAAGGAGAUAACCAGCAGAAGAAGAGUUGUGCCGAUUGGGAGUAGUCUUUGAACGUAAGAAACUAAACCUGCAUAGUAGAUUCGAUCUUCAAGAAACCGACUGGCGACAGCAAGCAUGGGGCCUCCAACACUGCAUCCAACAUCGAGGAUCUGAUCUCUAGGCUUCACAUCAAUGAGAUUGAUGGUCAUCUCUUCGUGGAGAUGUGGCGUCGUGGUGUUUCAAAGGAACAAAGGGAGAGAAGCGGAAGGACUGAAUCCGUUAUUAUAAGGGAGUUAAAAUAUGUAACGGAGAAGGGUUGCCAACACAACUAAUCACUAAUUUUCUUUUGCACA
Jatropha curcas is the source of this 785-nucleotide long non-coding RNA. RefSeq lists it as uncharacterized. The record is from RefSeq and is a predicted model, not a curated record. NCBI's taxonomy places the organism in Eukaryota, Viridiplantae, Streptophyta, Magnoliopsida, Malpighiales, Euphorbiaceae.